AUGGCGACGGCGGCCAAGGAUGCGGCGUCUGCGGCGGAGAAGAAGGGGACGGCGGCGGGGCUGCAGAUGAAGCUGCUGGUGGACAGGCGGUCGCGCCGGGUGCUGUACGCGGAGGCGCGCAAGGACGCCGUCGACUUCCUCAUCGGCCUCCUCCGCGUGCCCGCCGGCCUCGCCGCGCGCGUCAUCGGCAAGCACGCCGCUGGCGCUGGAGAUGGCGCCGGUGACGUUCACCCCGACGAGGCGCACCCCGCGCCGGGCUCCCUGGGCACGCUCUACGCCGGGGCGAAGGCGCUGGGCGACGAGUUCUUCGUCGCCGCCGCGCCCGACCGCGACGCGAUCCUCUGCCCGGCGAUCCCCUCGGCCGCGCUCGCGCUGCUGCUCGCGGGCGAGCCGGCCGCCGCGGCGGCGGCCACCCCGCCGCCCGCCGCGCCCGCCCCGCCGAAGCGGUACUUCCGGUGCGCGGGCCCGUACGGGACGUCGUGCCGCGGGAACCCGACGUGCGUGACGGACGUGGCCGGCCUGCCGUGCCCGGUGUGCCGGCAGCCGAUGACGGUGGAGAUGCGGUGGAGCCCCGGCGACGCGCAGGGCAAGCUGGCGCAGGCGGCGUCUGCAGGAGCAGGAGGGUACGUGAAGGAGGUGGUGAGCUACCUGGUGAUGGACGACCUCACGGUGGAGCCCAUGUCCACCAUCUCCGCCAUCAUGCUGCUCAAGAAGUUCAAGGUCGCCGACUGCUCCGCCCUGGAGGAGCUCACCGUCGACCUCGGCCACAAGGAGGCCGUGCUGCUGCUCAAGGCCGCGCUCGAGUCCAAAACGGCGCUCACCGACGUCUUCUGCGGCGGCGUCUCCAUUGACAGGCUCGAGUGA
Molecule: ribosomal RNA, 864 nt
Filed under: Triticum aestivum (bread wheat)
Lineage: Eukaryota; Viridiplantae; Streptophyta; Magnoliopsida; Poales; Poaceae
Description: partial small subunit ribosomal RNA
Source: RNAcentral